Molecule: transfer RNA, 87 nt
Filed under: Aphanothece sacrum FPU1
Lineage: Bacteria; Bacillati; Cyanobacteriota; Cyanophyceae; Chroococcales; Aphanothecaceae
Also listed under: 1 other name
Rfam family: tRNA
About the family: Transfer RNA (tRNA) molecules are approximately 80 nucleotides in length.
Source: Rfam by way of RNAcentral
GGAGAGGUGGCAGAGUGGUUGAAUGCGGCAGUCUCGAAAACUGCUAAAGAUUUACGUCUUUCGUGGGUUCAAAUCCCACCCUCUCCG